UACGAGGGGGGCGAGCGUUGUUCGGAAUUAUUGGGCGUAAAGGGUGCGUAGGCGGUUCCGCAAGUCCUGUGUGAAAUCUUCGGGCUCAACUCGAAGUCUGCACGGGAAACUGCGGGGCUUGAGUGUGGGAGAGGUGAGUGGAAUUCCCGGUGUAGCGGUGAAAUGCGUAGAUAUCUGGAGGAACACCGGUGGCGAAGGCGGCAUCCUGGACCGGCAUUGACGCUGAGUGAGCGAAAGCCAGGGGAGCAAACGGG
Molecule: ribosomal RNA, 254 nt
Filed under: uncultured bacterium
Lineage: Bacteria
Description: partial 16S ribosomal RNA
Rfam family: Bacterial small subunit ribosomal RNA
Source: RNAcentral